This 460-nucleotide ribosomal RNA is filed under the name uncultured bacterium. RNAcentral's name for it is "partial 16S ribosomal RNA". It matches the Rfam family "Bacterial small subunit ribosomal RNA", at positions 338 to 795 of the family's 1533-position model. The record is from RNAcentral.
CCUACGGGGCGCUGCAGUGAGGAAUAUUGGUCAAUGGGCGUAAGCCUGAACCAGCCAAGUCGCGUGAGGGAUGAAGGUUCUAUAGAUCGUAAACCUCUUUUAUAAGGGAAUAAAGUGUGGGACGUGUCCUAUUUUGUAUGUACCUUAUGAAUAAGGAUCGGCUAACUCCGUGCCAGCAGCCGCGGUAAUACGGAGGAUCCGAGCGUUAUCCGGAUUUAUUGGGUUUAAAGGGUGCGUAGGCGGCCUUUUAAGUCAGCUGUGAAAGUUUGUGGCUCAACCAUAGAAUUGCCGUUGAAACUGGGGGGCUUGAGUAUGUUUGAGGCAGGCGGAAGGCGUGGUGUAGCGGUGAAAUGCUUAGAUAUCACGAAGAACCCCGAUUGCGAAGGCAGCCUGCCAAGCCAUGACUGACGCUGAUGCACGAAAGCGUGGGGAUCAAACAGGAUUAGAUACCCUAGUAGUC